Molecule: ribosomal RNA, 317 nt
Filed under: Burkholderia sp. 135S
Lineage: Bacteria; Pseudomonadati; Pseudomonadota; Betaproteobacteria; Burkholderiales; Burkholderiaceae
Description: bacterial SSU rRNA
Rfam family: Bacterial small subunit ribosomal RNA
Source: RNAcentral
CAGGUGCUGCAUGGCUGUCGUCAGCUCGUGUCGUGAGAUGUUGGGUUAAGUCCCGCAACGAGCGCAACCCUUGUCCCUAGUUGCUACGCAAGAGCACUCCAGGGAGACUGCCGGUGACAAACCGGAGGAAGGUGGGGAUGACGUCAAGUCCUCAUGGCCCUUAUGGGUAGGGCUUCACACGUCAUACAAUGGUCGGAACAGAGGGUCGCCAACCCGCGAGGGGGAGCCAAUCCCAGAAAACCGAUCGUAGUCCGGAUCGCACUCUGCAACUCGAGUGCGUGAAGCUGGAAUCGCUAGUAAUCGCGGAUCAGCAUGCC